AUGUGCAGAGAAAGGCACGGUGCAAUGCUUGACGAGAGGGCAGCCAGUGCAGAGAGAAUCACUGCCCUAGAGAGUGCAUUCCGUGGUUUUGCAGAAAGGAAAACUGAAGAAGUAGUAGCACCUGGGAUUGGCUUGACGUUUGAUUCACUCGGAGAAGCAUAUGAUGUUUACAACCUUUACUCCUGGGAGUCUAGGUUUUGUAUAAGGUAUGGCAAAAGCAGAAAAAACGUGAAGGGAGCAAGGUCCAUGCAAGAACUGAUGUGCAAUUGUGGCGUGAGUACCCCAAUCGUCCUUUAUUAA
Molecule: ribosomal RNA, 300 nt
Filed under: Triticum aestivum (bread wheat)
Lineage: Eukaryota; Viridiplantae; Streptophyta; Magnoliopsida; Poales; Poaceae
Description: partial small subunit ribosomal RNA
Source: RNAcentral